RNAcentral lists this long non-coding RNA (651 nucleotides) under Sitophilus oryzae (rice weevil). Its description in RNAcentral is "uncharacterized LOC115888963". Lineage: Eukaryota; Metazoa; Arthropoda; Insecta; Coleoptera; Curculionidae. The record is from RNAcentral.
CAUUUUUUGGAAGUAAACAAAUAUUGAAGAAAGUGUUGUGCCUUCACAGAAUUUAAAUUGGCAUUAGGAAUAGAUUUCCUUGAUUUAGUAAUGAUAUUGCUCAUAGAAAUUGAUAAUGUGAAGAAUAACAAUACAGGAACAUAGAAUAACAAGAAAGAAAUUCUAGCAGCAAGUUAGGUUAUGAGAUAAAUUUUAUUUAUAUAGUUUGUUUAAAGAGUUUAGUUUGAAAAAAAGGGACACAGUAAAAAGACAAAACAUUUAGACCCUUUGAAGAGAAAUGUUUGCAAUGGAUAUUAAUAAAUUCUAGCCAAUUUGUACGAUGUACAAUGCAGGCAAUAUUUCUGCCUCCUAACGCACUAUUCGCGUAAAAGAAGAUGUGGGUAUUGUAUUUAUACCUAGGUAGUUAAUGAUACAUGGAAUAUAUUUCUAUAUUAUUGCAAUAACGAUGUCUUUAUGUUGUAUUUUUUUAGAACAGAUUUAUUAUUAGUUGGCUAGUGUGUUAGUAGGAUAGCCAUUGGUAGUUAUAAAGUAUGAAGUCGUCAGGUAUUAAUAAUAGGAAUUGAUCAAAGCUUAUACAUUUAUUGUGAUAUUUAUAUUGUGAAUUUAAGUAGUUAGAGUUUUGGUUGUUUAAUAAACGAAUUAAUGUGCUUA